CUAUGAUUCCUAAUGGGUUAAAUGAGGAAUUCAACCUGUUACCUCUACUCUAAUUCAGAACAAACAUAGUCAACUCAAGUCAGGUGUGGUGAAGCAAUUAUCAAGCAGGUUCAACUCAUUGCAUGCUACAGAGUUCUAUAUUUCUUUGAAUUUGGGUUUCAGUUUGCUUUACAUGACAACAGCAAUAAGGAAAAUACCAGAAAAAGGUUGUCUUAAUACUUUACUGAAGAGUUUAAUUUUUGCAAUCCUACUCAGAAGUAAGUCCCACUGAGUUCAAUGCAGCUUACUCUUGGAGCAUGGGCUUCUCAGUUUGGGCCCUAAAAUUGUCGAAAUCUCCCCUCAGAGAGAUCCAUCGAUGUUCAUUCUUGCUAUCUUUGUGGAGGGUGGAAUAGACCAGGCCUGUUUGAACACUGGCUGCAGAAGAGCUGUUGUUUCAGCAAAGGCCUUCCAAGGUCUUAUGAAACCUGCUCUCAAGUACCAAACACCACACCAUGUCAGCUAUGAAAUGCCUAAUACUAUUGCAUGUAAUUUUUCAAACUACUAUAUGU
Long non-coding RNA from Rhineura floridana, 548 nucleotides. RefSeq lists it as uncharacterized. Lineage: Eukaryota; Metazoa; Chordata; Lepidosauria; Squamata; Rhineuridae. The transcript is spliced from 5 exons. The record is from RefSeq and is a predicted model, not a curated record.